GACGAACGCUGGCGGCGGGCUUAACACAUGCAAGUCGAACGGAAAGGCCCUGCUUUUGUGGGGUUCUCGAGUGGCGAACGGGUGAGUAACACGGGAAUAACCUGCCCUUGACUUUGGGAUAACUUCAGGAAACUGGGGCUAAUACCGGAUAGGAGCUCCUGAUGCAUGGUGGGGGUUGGAAAGUUUCGGCGGUUGGGGAUGGACUCGCGGCUUAUCAGCUUGUUGGUGGGGUAGUGGCUUACCAAGGCUUUGAAGGGUGGCCGGCCUGAGAGGGUGACCGGCCACCUUGGGACUGAGAUACGGCCCAGAGUCGUACGGGAGGCAGCAGUGGGGAAUAUUGCACAAUGGGCGGAAGCCUGAUGCAGCAACGCCGCGUGCGGGAUGACGGCCUUCGGGUUGUAAACCGCUUUCGCCUGUGACGAAGCGUGAGUGACGGUAAUGGGUAAAGAAGCACCGGCUAACUACGUG
Molecule: ribosomal RNA, 468 nt
Filed under: uncultured bacterium
Lineage: Bacteria
Description: partial 16S ribosomal RNA
Rfam family: Bacterial small subunit ribosomal RNA
Source: RNAcentral